Molecule: ribosomal RNA, 549 nt
Filed under: uncultured Glomeromycotina
Lineage: Eukaryota; Fungi; Glomeromycota
Description: SSU rRNA
Rfam family: Eukaryotic small subunit ribosomal RNA
Source: RNAcentral
UUGGAGGGCAAGUCUGGUGCCAGCAGCCGCGGUAAUUCCAGCUCCAAUAGCGUAUAUUAAAGUUGUUGCAGUUAAAAAGCUCGUAGUUGAAUUUCGGGGUCAGCAGGUUGGUCGUGCCACUGGUAUGCACUGGCCUCGCUGAUUCCUCCCUCUUGUAGAACCGUAAUGCCAUUAAGUUGGUGUUGCGGGGAGACAGGACUGUUACUUUGAAAAAAUUAGAGUGUUUAAAGCAGGCUAACGCUUGAAUACAUUAGCAUGGAAUAAUGAAAUAGGACGAUCGAUCCUAUUUUGUUGGUUUCUAGGGUUGACGUAAUGAUUAAUAGGGAUAGUUGGGGGCAUUAGUAUUCAAUUGUCAGAGGUGAAAUUCUUGGAUUUAUUGAGGAUUGACUACUGCGAAAGCAUUUGCCAAGGAUGUUUUCAUUAAUCAAGAACGAAAGUUAGGGGAUCGAAGACGAUCAGAUACCGUCGUAGUCUUAACCAUAAACUAUGCCGACUAGGGAUCGGAUGAUGUUAAUUUUUUAAUGACUCAUUCGGCGCCUUACGGGAAAC